UACAGAGGGUGCGAGCGUUGUCCGGAAUCACUGGGCGUAAAGGGCGCGUAGGUGGCGGGAUAAGUGUGUGGUGAAAGCCUGGGGCUCAACCCCAGGUCUGCCAUGCAGACUGUCUUGCUUGAGCGUAGUAGAGGCAGGUGGAAUUCCGGGUGUAGCGGUGGAAUGCGUAGAGAUCCGGAAGAACACCGGUGGCGAAGGCGGCCUGCUGGGCUACUGCUGACACUGAGGCGCGACAGCGUGGGGAGCAAACAGG
RNAcentral lists this ribosomal RNA (253 nucleotides) under uncultured bacterium. RNAcentral's name for it is "partial 16S ribosomal RNA". It matches the Rfam family "Bacterial small subunit ribosomal RNA", at positions 524 to 776 of the family's 1533-position model. The record is from RNAcentral.